UUAACUGCUGAAUGUGCCGAGACAUUUAUGUCCUUGUGGUGCUUAUUUAUUAAAAAUAACUAUCUUACUUGUGCCAGCAGCUGCUGUAAAAAUGCAAUCUUCUGCUCUAACAUAAUAUGGUGGUAAAUGGAAUUUCUGUUAUUUAAUAUUUGAAAACUGUUGUUCAGAUAAUGGUGAUAGAUUAGUUAAAUCUAAUAUUUGUAUGUUGUCAUUGCUGCAUAAUGUGAACUUUAAUGUCAAGAUGAUGAAAGCUUGGGUUAGCAAUGGUCAUUUGAACCAAAGGAGGAUAUUGGUUGUGUGGUUUCAUGUCUUGCAAAAGGGUGCUUAGAUAAUUUUGUCAUUUUGUAGCUCUGUUUGCUGCCUUAUGCUGAAGAACACACACCCUUCUGUUUGCCUACUUCUUCCUUUUGUUGUCAUCUCAUUGUUGCAGGCUUUUAUAUCACUUCCUGCUCGGCUCUGCCUGGGACAAUGGUUUUCAGUUUUUUAAUGGGUCUGUGAGUUCUGAGGGAUUUUUGAAACGUUACAAACCCAAGCCUGCAGUGGGUUAUCCGGGGGCAGCUGUAGGACCCAGCAGGCAGCAAUGCAAACCCUUCAACAACCUGUGGGUUUUUUAGUCUGCCAGACUUGUUCUAGCCAUUGUGACAGAGGAGGAGUUCUGUGAAAUAUAUAGGAAAGUUUCUUCUGUUUUGUUACCCCUGAACAGUGGUUUCAGCAUGGGGACAGUCCCACGGACACGAGGUUUUUCAGCCUUUUCAAUGGUUUACAGUCAGAGCAGCAGAACAGGGUUUGGUGUUAGGCAGGACCCCCAGAGCAGAGCCAGGUCCCUCCCAGGCAGGCGAAGGAUGGGGCUGGAGCUGAGCUGCGUUCAGGAGCAACCUACACGGAUCACAGGGAGCCAGGGACAGCACUCGUGACAGGGCACUGUGACAGUUCUUUAGAGGAGAAUAUUCCAAGGAGCCUCACCAUCAGUUUAAUGUUUCAAAAUCAUUCUGGUAGCAACUUAUGCAGUGCUGACACAAAAGAAGGAAGAGCGAAGCCUGUGUGAAAUGUGCCUUCAGCUGGACAUGGAAACUGCUGAGCUGUUUCUGAGCCAAUACAGAAUACUAAGAAGAGGUGCAAGUUUGGGCUACUGGGAGGUUCCAGUAUCUGCGAGGAACUAUGGCCCUGAACCAGGCCUUUAUGAUUGGAUGUGAUAGCUAUGGAACACACGGCCUCCUGCUGCAAGUCUUAUUCAACAGUUCAGAUGGGAUUUGUGUUGUGUAACUUGAGCCACAGAUUACUUGAAGUGGUCUGAUACAAUUUUCAAAGGUGCAUUAAGCACAGCCAAAAGACAAUGCAAGAAUUGGCAUUUGCUGACUGACUCCGUUUUCUUCUCCAUCUGGUAAAGACAAGGGGAAGACAGAGACUUAAGUCCCAAAAUGGAAAAGGAGAAUUGCUCAAGCUGAAGAAAUAUUAAAGAAGAAGAAACCCAUCAGUUUAGUCAAUGCACAAAAUGCAAUAUGAAAUGAAGCUAGUAACGCUGUAAUGAAGAACCUGUUCCAGAAUAAUCCUUACUUCCAUUUUUUUAUGGUACAGUUAUGCCUACUUCUCUGAAGCUUUUCCCCCUGUCUGAAGAGGAUUCACCUGGCUGGCAGCCAUAUGGAGUCACAGCACAGUGGGAUUGUACUGCUCAUAUUUAUCUGGAAUUGUUCUCUAAGAGCAGGAGGAGGCUAAGCCAUUUGGAAUGACUGCAUUGUAUUUAGAUUAACAGAGAUGUAUCACAGUGUUGUUUCCUGGUAUUAUGAAGGAGUGUACCUGUGUGUACAUGCUUCAUAUUCCAGAAUAAUAACAAGACACUGCUAGUAAUCUUGUGGUUUAUUAACAUUUUUGGAUAAGAGCAAGGUAAAAGAAAGUGUGGCUUUUGCACAAGGCAGAAAGGUGGUUCAUAGAUGCAUAUCCCUGCCUUGUAUUUCCAUUGCCUUAUAUUUCUAAAUUCUAAUUUUCAGUGGGCUCUGGGGAGCCAGGGAAAAAAGGAAGUUUGUGAAAGACAGGGAGUUGAAGCCAUUUCCAGUAUAGAAAAGUCUGUCAAAAUAGAAAUCUGCCUACAAUGAAAGACUUAUUUCUUCUAGCAGUGUAAAUCAAUUACUAAUAGCUCCACUUAGGAACCAGGGAAAGCAGCUUGGAAAAACCUUCCUGAGGUGAUACAGUCCAAUCUAAGAGUGGCAUUCCUAUUAUGAACUAGGCAUAUCUUGCAGCAGAUACCCUUGGUAGAAAUUUGUACUUUCCAUGAGAAGGCUCUAAAGCAAUACCCUGAGCAGCUUUAGUAGUUACUGUACAAGUGCUGCACAGGAUUGUUGUUGAUGGCUCAACAGACUCCUUCAGUCAGGGGGUACUCUUGGCUCUGUAGUUCCAACUCCAGCCCAUCUUCCAGUCAAGGCUUAUUAUACAGGUAAGUAGCAGAGCACUUCUUUGUGCAGGGAAGAAAAAAGAAGUGUUGUAAUCUAGAGGUCCUAAACUGCACCACUUUCUCUGCCCACUGCCUUAGUGGGAUACACAAAGUGGGAUGCUGUUACCCCAACUGUUAGUGCCUCAGAACUUUUAUUGCCUGCCUUUUUUUAUCUGUAGUCUCAUUUCUAGGAGGCAGGACUCAACUAACUUGGUUUUGCAUUAACUGCCUGUAGUAUGUGCAUGGCUCAAAAGGCACAGGAUGUUACUCUGGAUAUGGUUCUACGAGUUCAUGCUUGUCUCAGUCAGUGGUGUAUUUCUGGUCAUGCAGCAACCUCACUCCCUCCUUCACACUUGAGCUGUUCUGGUUUGAGCCCUUGGCUGGAGAGUUCUACUUGUUUAAU
Molecule: long non-coding RNA, 2828 nt
Organism: Corapipo altera (White-ruffed manakin)
Lineage: Eukaryota; Metazoa; Chordata; Aves; Passeriformes; Pipridae
Exons: 10
Source: RefSeq, a predicted model, not a curated record